CCACUGUCAGAUUCCUCAUGGAACCAGACCUCUCCGAUGGACGAUCCUCAAACAAGCUUCUGCAUCAGGCAAAUUUCAGACGAACUUCUCUAAUAAAAAGUCCCUGUCCGAGCUUCUACAACAGAUGACUUCCACCUGCAGCAUCGAUGCCCAAGGCACUCAGCAACAGUGGACUCAUCAGCAACCUCAGAAAUAUCUGAGCCACUCUUAGAUUGC
RNAcentral lists this long non-coding RNA (216 nucleotides) under Elaeis guineensis (African oil palm). Its description in RNAcentral is "long non-coding RNA (EGUI_LNC069431)". Lineage: Eukaryota; Viridiplantae; Streptophyta; Magnoliopsida; Arecales; Arecaceae. The record is from RNAcentral.